ACCUUGAAGACAAAUAUCAAAGACCAGCACAAAACAGGGACAGAAGUGCAAAUUGCCCUGUAAAACCACAACAUCGGGCAGCCGGUCCAUUCAUACAUCGUCCCGUCCCCCGUUGGACUUUGCAGUAGUACGAGGAGUAGAGAGAACUGACAAGUAUGCGAAGCUAACCAAAAAUCUUACAGUUUCCAUUUUUUGCUCUCUCUCUAUCUUUGCCUUAAUCAUGAAAGCAACUAAUUUCAAUGCUUUUACUCAAUUUCGUUUCCUAUUAUUCAAUUCUUCUAAAACCCUUGUUAUCCCCUUAAACCCCACCAGAUUCAGAUUCCUCAACAUAUCUGCAGCUGCUGCUUUACCUUCUCUUCCUGAAACCCUACAAGAAGACCAAACAGAAGACCAAACAAAAGACACCCUCAGUACCACUACUUCCAAACAACCAGCAGAUUUAUUUAGGCAAAUGGGUUGUACUGAAGAUGACAUUUCCAAGAUUUUUCAACGCCGUCCAUCUUUACAAAAAAUGGACCUUAAAAACCUUCAUUCAAAGCUCAAAAUACUCACUGAUUUAGGUCGUAUCUGGGAGGCGACAUGUGGGGAUCAUGUCUGCCGAACCUAUUGAAAAUUACAGCGUGAGGUUAUUGUUUGAUGACUUGCAUAAGACUGGCAUUUUCUAGUGGAACUACCCCUACCAUCUUGGGAGCAACAAGUCAUUCUCAUGCGAGAUUACAUCAAAACUCUAAAGAAACAUGGAUUUAGCGGGGAUCCUCCCAGAAGAAAGUGAUUAUUAAAUCACACCAUGAAUAUGCUAAUUGUGGGUGGAUGCUUUACAUUACUUAUGGUUAGCAGACAAUCUUCUCACGUGCGCAAAGUGGCGACAAUGACCUGCCUCUGAACUGAUCAGUGCUGUAAGUAAGGCCAUGAUGAUGACUAGCUCCUUAUAUACUGUCAUAUGUGCAGUCGAGUUUGUGACAUGUUAUAAACAAUGCGAAUUUGAUAUAUCCAUUGAAACUACAAAGGCCAAAAGUAGAAUUCCAGUUGAAACAAAGGACGCAACGGAACUUGCAAAAAAAGUUGUUACAAAGACAAGUUUGAUGUGACGAUAGAGAGAAAAAAUGAACAUGGCAAGGAAGAUAUUAUUCUCUCUUGGGUCAUUAAUUUUGUUUCCAAAUUGUACUAAAACGUCUGAAAUCUGUUACUGAGAAACAAGAAAGUGGAUUAAAGAAGAGUUGAGAACGA
RNA transcript from Lycium ferocissimum, 1227 nucleotides. RefSeq lists it as uncharacterized. The transcript is spliced from 3 exons. The record is from RefSeq and is a predicted model, not a curated record. Lineage: Eukaryota; Viridiplantae; Streptophyta; Magnoliopsida; Solanales; Solanaceae.